Molecule: ribosomal RNA, 485 nt
Filed under: uncultured bacterium
Lineage: Bacteria
Description: partial 16S ribosomal RNA
Rfam family: Bacterial small subunit ribosomal RNA
Source: RNAcentral
AGUGAACGCUGGCGGCGUGCUUAACACAUGCAAGUCGAACGAGAACGGAAUGUAGCUUGCUAUAUUUGUCAGCUAAGUGGCGCACGGGUGAGUAAUGUAUAGAUAACCUGCCCUUAAGAAAGGAAUAACAGUUGGAAACGACUGCUAAUGCCCUAUAUGCCUUUAAUACAUAAGUAUGCAAGGGAAACGCUUUAGUGCUUAAGGAUGGGUCUGUAUGGUAUCAGCUUGUUGGUGAGGUAAUGGCUCACCAAGGCUAUGACGCCUAACUGGUUUGAGAGGAUGAUCAGUCACACUGGAACUGAGACACGGUCCAGACUCCUACGGGAGGCAGCAGUGGGGAAUAUUGCACAAUGGACGAAAGUCUGAUGCAGCAACGUCGCGUGGAGGAUGACACAUUUCGGUGCGUAAACCCCUUUUAUAUAGGAAGAUAAUGACGGUACUAUAUGAAUAAGCACCGGCUAACUCCGUGCCAGCAGCCGCAGUAA